Molecule: unclassified non-coding RNA, 17 nt
Filed under: Mus musculus (house mouse)
Lineage: Eukaryota; Metazoa; Chordata; Mammalia; Rodentia; Muridae
Description: oocyte_clustered_small_RNA7395
Source: RNAcentral
AAGAGUCUAAUGAGGUG